Cyanistes caeruleus (blue tit) is the source of this 1547-nucleotide long non-coding RNA. NCBI's taxonomy places the organism in Eukaryota, Metazoa, Chordata, Aves, Passeriformes, Paridae. The record is from Ensembl.
AGGGAUUUUGGGGGAUUUUGGGGAAUUUUGGGGGGAUUUUGGGUGGAUUUUGGGGGGAUUUGGGGGAAUAUUGGGAGGAUUUUGGGGGAUUUGGGGGGAUUUUUGGAGGAUUUUGGGGGGAUUUUGGGGUUUAUGAGGUGUUUUGGGAUUUUUGAGGGGUUUUGGGGAUUUUGAGGGUUUUGGGAUUUAGAGGGGUUUUGGGGGGUUUUGGGGAUUUUGAGGUGUUUGAGGGGUUUUGGGGGAUUUUGGGGAUUUUGAGGGAUUUUGGGGACUUUAGAGGCGUUUCUGGGGUGUUUUUUUGUGGUUUUUGGGUGAUUUUUGGGGUUUUUUGGGGAGGGAUUUGGGUGUUUCUGGGGGGUGAUUUUGGGGCUGUUGUGGGUGACUUUGCAGGUGUUUUUGGGGUGAGUUUGGGGGAUUUUGGAGCUGUUUCUGGGCAGUCCAGGGGGGUCCUGGCGGGGUUCUGAGCCCCCUUUUUCCCCCCAGAUCACGCAGCACUACAGCAAACCCCGCGUCACCCCCCUGGAGUUUUCCCCAUUUUUGCCUCAUUUUUUCUGUUUUUUUCAUUUUCCCCCAUUUUUCCUUACUUUUCCCCACUUUUUUCCUCAUUUUUCCCCAUUUUUCCCCAUUUUCCCCAUUUUCCCGUUUUUCCUUUCCCCAUUUUCCCCAUUUUCCCGUUUUUCCCCAUUUUUCCCUGUUUUUCCCCAUUUUUCCCAUUUUCCUCAUUUCCCCAUUUUCCCAUUUUUCCCCAAUUUUCACCUCAUUUCCCCAUUUUCCCCAUUUUCCCCAUUUUUCCCCCAUUUUCCCCAUUUUUCCCCGUUUUUCCCCAUUUUUCCCAUUUUCCUCAUUUCCCCAUUUUCCCGUUUUUCCCCAAUUUUCCACUCAUUUCCCCAUUUUCCCCAUUUUUCCCCCAUUUUCCCCAUUUUCCCCUCAUUUCCCCAUUUCCCUAUUUCCCCAUUUUCCCAUUUCCCCAUUUUCCCCUCAUUUCCCCAUUUUCCCAUUUCCCCAUUUCCCCAUUUUCCCCUCAUUUCCCUAUUUCCCCAUUUUCCCCAUUUUCCCGUUUUUCCCCAUUUUUCCCUGUUUUUCCCCAUUUUUCCCAUUUUCCUCAUUUCCCCAUUUUCCCGUUUUUCCCCAAUUUUCCCCUCAUUUCCCCAUUUCCCCAUUUCCCCAUUUCCCCAUUUUCCCCAUUUUCCCCUCAUUUCCCCAUUUCCCCAUUUCCCCAUCUCCCAUUUUCCCCUCAUUUCCCCAUUUUCCCCUCAUUUCCCCUCAUUUCCCCAUUUCCACUCAUUUCCCCAUUUCCCCAUUUCUCCAUUUUCCCCAUUUCCCCUCAUUUCCCCAUUUCCCCAUUUUCCCCCCAUUUCCCCUCAUUUCCCCAUUUCCCCAUUUCCCCAUUUUCCCUUCAUUUCCCCAUUUUCCCCUCAUUUCCCCUCAUUUCCCCAUUUUCCCAUUUCCCCAUUUCCCCUCAUUUCCCCAUUUCCCCAUUUUCCCCUCAUUUCCCCAUUUUCCCCAUUUCCCCUCAUUUCCCCAUUUCCCCCCGUUUCCCCAUUUCC